RNAcentral lists this ribosomal RNA (253 nucleotides) under uncultured bacterium. RNAcentral describes it as "partial 16S ribosomal RNA". It matches the Rfam family "Bacterial small subunit ribosomal RNA", at positions 524 to 776 of the family's 1533-position model. The record is from RNAcentral.
GACGAGGGGUCCUAGCGUUGUUCGGAAUUACUGGGCGUAAAGCGUAUGUAGGCGGCUUUUUAAGUCGGGUGUGAAAUCCCAUGGCUCAACCAUGGAAUUGCAUUCGAAACUGGAGAGCUUGAGUGCGGGAGAGAUUGGUAGAAUACCUAGUGUAGUGGUGAAAUACGUAGAUAUCAGGUGGAAUACCGGUGGCGAAGGCGGCCAAUUGGCCCAACACUGACGCUGAGAUACGAAAGCGUGGGGAUCAAACAGG